GUGGGGGGAGUGUCCAGACAGACUGCCAGCUACCGAAGCAAACUUUACCCAAGGUUGUAGAAAGAUAGCCCAGUGGAGACUGGAAACUUAUCGGGUCCCUACCCUCCUCCUGUCCUGCCACGACCGAGAGGCAGGACUAUGCCGAGCACAGACUGAUCCGUCCGUAGCACGAAACCGUCCAUGUAGACGACCAGAGCUAAUCAGUGAGCUUCCACGGCCUCCUAGCCGCCACUCUGACAUGCGGUCUGCACGUCCAACACCAGUGCCAGGACCAGACCAGAGCUGCCACAUCCCGGAGCACAGCUGCAACAUGACCAGGUCUCCCGAAUGUCCCAGGGCCUGAGUCUACCCAUGGGUGCUCCUCUGGUCACAUCUUGCCAGCAGGCGUCAUCCUCGUCCCCUCACCCGGCUGACACGAGCUCCCGGUAAUUUUUCCAUUGAUAGGGCAGUGGAAGGAGUGUAUGUAGAGGCCGCAGGCGAGGCCUCUCUGGGCCUGUGUCUUGUCCGGUUUCUUCUCUCCUGUGGGGUGACGAGGCUACGUGGAGUGAGCCACCACCUUAUAGCCCCUUUCUGUCACAGAAUUGUGAGGUCUUCAGGCUUUCUCGUCUUUGCAGGACACGUCCCGGAGAUGGCUAUGCACACGUGGAGUCUGGGAAUGAGCAUGCAUGCCAGGCCUUAUAGGCCUUUCGGGUUUUGCUUAAGGCAGAAGUGCUGGUUUCCUAAGAGGAGUGAUCUGCAUAAUUAGAUUCCCACGCCACGGGCCCAGGGUACAGCACAGCCGCGAGGCGUGUGUGUCGGAUACAAGCAUCUCUCUUCUUGAACGUUUUCCGUUUUUCCUCUUCUCUUCUUCUGCCAUUUCUUCUUCUUCUUCUUCUUCUUCUUCUUCUUCUUCUUCUUCUUCUUCUUCUCUCUCUCUCUCUCUCUCUCCCCUCUAUUUUUCUUUCCUCCCGUUCUUUCUUCCCCACACUUCUCUCGCUCUCUUUGAAACAUCGCCGCCGCUUGUAGCCUCAAUUAGUCACAGACUUGCUAUGUGGCCAAGGUCGUCCUUGAACUCCUGAUCUUCCAGCACAGGCAUGCACCACCAUGCCCAGCUGUGUCACUUAAAACCUGAUCUCUGGCUCCAAGUGUCAGUGAGUGAAAGGUAUCAGAACUGUGUUGUGACUCAGCCAGCUUCCCCGGGUGUGUCUUGCUCACUCACUAGACAAAUAUUUGUUCUUGGCACUUGUUAAAGUGUAGGUAUUGUUACACAUAUCCAAUUUUUCAAUUCCUAGUUUUUAAUUCUUCUGAUUAAAUUUAUUGGGUGAACUGAAA
Mesocricetus auratus (golden hamster) is the source of this 1311-nucleotide long non-coding RNA. RefSeq lists it as uncharacterized. The record is from RefSeq and is a predicted model, not a curated record. The transcript has 3 exons. NCBI's taxonomy places the organism in Eukaryota, Metazoa, Chordata, Mammalia, Rodentia, Cricetidae.